Molecule: unclassified non-coding RNA, 213 nt
Filed under: plant metagenome
Description: partial contains small subunit ribosomal RNA, internal transcribed spacer 1, and 5.8S ribosomal RNA
Source: RNAcentral
UUUCCGUAGGUGAACCUGCGGAAGGAUCAUUCAUAAUAAGUGUUUUAUGGCACUUUUUUAAAUCCAUAUCCACCUUGUGUGCAAUGUCAGGGUUGGUUUUUCUCUCGAGAGGAUCAACCCCAAACAUCAACUAUAUCUCAACCCUUUGUCUGAAAAAUAUUAUGAAUAAAACAAGUCAAAAUACAACUUUCAACAACGGAUCUCUUGGCUCUC